AACGAACGCUGGCGGCAUGCCUAACACAUGCAAGUCGAACGAGACCUUCGGGUCUAGCGGCGCACGGGUGCGUAACGCGUGGGAAUCUGCCCUUGGGUUCGGAAUAACUCGCCGAAAGGCGUGCUAAUACCGGAUGAUGUCGUAAGGACCAAAGAUUUAUCGCCCAGGGAUGAGCCCGCGUAAGAUUAGGUAGUUGGUGAGGUAAAGGCUCACCAAGCCGACGAUCUUUAGCUGGUCCGAGAGGAUGAUCAGCCACACUGGGACUGAGACGCGGCCCAG
This 279-nucleotide ribosomal RNA is filed under the name uncultured bacterium. Its description in RNAcentral is "partial 16S ribosomal RNA". It matches the Rfam family "Bacterial small subunit ribosomal RNA", at positions 29 to 334 of the family's 1533-position model. The record is from RNAcentral.